Long non-coding RNA from Oncorhynchus gorbuscha (pink salmon), 1409 nucleotides. RefSeq lists it as uncharacterized. The transcript has 3 exons. The record is from RefSeq and is a predicted model, not a curated record. Lineage: Eukaryota; Metazoa; Chordata; Actinopteri; Salmoniformes; Salmonidae.
UGCUCCUAAAGCAGUUUUUUUUUAUCUGUAACUUUAGCCAUGGAGAACUGCAAAUAUGUUACUACUGCUCUCAAUAACAAUGCUUCCCUGAAUUUAUCAACUUGACAUUUGUAGCUAUCUACAAAUGUCAGUCAGAAAAAGUUAUGAUGGACUACUUUCUGGAUGACUUUUGUGCCAUGCUGACUCUCUCACUCUGAAAAGAACACAUUUUGAAAUCAGUGGAACAUAACCGGCCAAACAAGCUGUGCAAACUAAACGGAAACAACACAGGAUGUCUUAUAAAGUGAAGCUUUCAUCCAUGUAUACAGAUGGCUGGCUAGCUAGCUUUGUCUGAGAUUGCCGGUGUUGUGAAGGACAGCACUGUGACGGGGGUCACCAUCCCACAGCUGGUUGGACUGGAGGAUGGUACAGUGCUGGUGGAAAGCUAUGGCUGGCAACAACACCUGACUCCGUACUUCAGGCCAUUGCCACAUACUGUAUCAAGCAGUACCAGCACUUCAGCUUCAAUGCUCUGGAGCCUGGUUUUGUCGCCAAAGAGCGUUCUGGCUGUCGGGACCAGGUUUCAGCUGCUGCGCAUCUUUCCUCCCAUAGAUGGUCUGCCUGUAAAAGCACCACCUGGACUGGCCAUAGACAAAAUAUAUUUUUGACAAGUUCAGGGAGUUUAGCGACGAAGAGGCUAUGGACAUCACAUGUCCUGGACCAAAGUCAAGGGCAGGGCAGAAACAGGCUCUCUGAAUAUAGAUUCCCUUGUUCAUGCGUGGUUUGGACAGACCAGUCAUCAGCACUAUCACACACACCAUACUUUGCUGCUACAAUUUAUUUAUCCUGCUGCUCAGCCACUUUACCCUGAUUGUAUGCAUAUAACUACCUCGUCUAUCACUGAUAUUAUUAUUGAUAUUGUUCUUGCACAUACUGUAUAUGUUAUUUAUAUUGACACUAUCCAUUUCUGAUAUUUUUACUAUGCAAGUAACCAUUUGGCUGUACCGUUUACACCUUCUGUAGAGACCAUCCACUUAGCAACAUAUUGAUAUAUAAUUAAUAUUGAUGUGUGGUCGUAACAUGAUUUUGUGACAUACCACAACAAUAUAAUGUGACCGUAUCAAGUGUCCACCCUUAUAAAUAUAUGGCGCAUGCAUCUGUUUAUGUACAGUACAUGUGCACCUCACUUAGGUUUCAACUCAGGUUGCAUUGCCUUUACUUAUGUAUGGAUUACUAUGUGAUAAGUGCAUGUGUAACAGUAUAUAAAGUAUGCUAAUGUACUGGUGUGAAGGUAUUUGGGCAGUGCUGUAAAGUACUUAAGUAAAAAUACUUGAAAGUACUACUUAAGCAGUUUGUGGUAUCUGUACAUUACUUUACUAUUUUAUAUUUUUGGCUACUUUUACUUCACUACAUUCGUAAAGAAAAAUGUA